UACCUGCAGCUCAAGUGGUGGCCGCUAUUAUUGGGCCUAAAACGUUCGUAGCCGGCUGAGUAAAUGCUUGGGUAAAUCGUGCUGCUUAACGGUACGAAUUUCGGGUAGACUGCUCAGCUUGAGACCGGGAGAAGCUAGAGGUACUCCUGGGGUAGAGGUGAAAUUCUGUAAUCCUGGGGGGACCACCAGUGGCGAAGGCGUCUAGCUAGAACGGGUCUGACGGUGAGGGACGAAACCCUGGGGCGCAAACCGGAUUAGAUACCCGGGUAGUCCAGGGCGCAAACGCUGCUUGCUUGAUGUUAGCUGGGCUCCGGGCUCAGCUAGUGUCGGAGAGAAGUUGUUAAGCAAGCUGCCUGGGAAGUACGAUCGCAAGAUUGAAACUUAAAGGAAUUGGCGGGGAGCACAGCAACGGGUGGAGCGUGCGGUUU
RNAcentral lists this ribosomal RNA (428 nucleotides) under uncultured archaeon. Its description in RNAcentral is "bacterial SSU rRNA". It matches the Rfam family "Archaeal small subunit ribosomal RNA", at positions 474 to 903 of the family's 1478-position model. The record is from RNAcentral.